RNAcentral lists this small RNA (578 nucleotides) under uncultured Leptosphaerulina. Its description in RNAcentral is "eukaryotic LSU rRNA". The stretch from base 209 to 362 matches the Rfam family "5.8S ribosomal RNA". Lineage: Eukaryota; Fungi; Ascomycota; Dothideomycetes; Pleosporales; Pleosporaceae. The record is from RNAcentral.
UUAACCUUUCAAAACAGGGUGCGUCGCGGCCCCCGAGGUGCGGAAACAAGCCUCGAGCGGUUUGGGGUCCUCCCCUUCACGCGCGCACGACUGCCAUCCUUACUUUACGAGCACCUUCUGUUCUCCCUCGGCGGGGCAACCUGCCGUUGGAACCGAAUAAACUCUUUUUGCAUCUAGCAUUACCUGUUCCGAAACAAACAAUCGUUACAACUUUCAACAAUGGAUCUCUUGGCUCUGGCAUCGAUGAAGAACGCAGCGAAAUGCGAUAAGUAGUGUGAAUUGCAGAAUUCAGUGAAUCAUCGAAUCUUUGAACGCACAUUGCGCCCCUCGGUAUUCCGUGGGGCAUGCCUGUUCGAGCGUCAUCUACACCCUCAAGCUCUGCUUGGUGUUGGGCGUCUGUCCCGCCUCCGCGCGUGGGCUCGCCCCAAAUUCAUUGGCAGCGGUCCUUGCCUCCUCUCGCGCAGCACAUUGCGCUUCUUGAGGGGCUCCGGUUCGCGUCCAACAAGCACAUUUACCGUCUUUGACCUCGGAUCAGGUAGGGAUACCCGCUGAACUUAAGCAUAUCAAUAAGCGGAGGA